GCCCUUGUGGCGGAACGGUAGACGCGAUCGACUCAAAAUCGAUUGUCUUCGGACGUGGGGGUUCAAGUCCCUCCAGGGGCACCA
This 84-nucleotide transfer RNA is filed under the name Hyphomicrobium aestuarii. Its description in RNAcentral is "tRNA-Leu". It matches the Rfam family "tRNA". Rfam says of the family: Transfer RNA (tRNA) molecules are approximately 80 nucleotides in length. Their secondary structure includes four short double-helical elements and three loops (D, anti-codon, and T loops). Lineage: Bacteria; Pseudomonadati; Pseudomonadota; Alphaproteobacteria; Hyphomicrobiales; Hyphomicrobiaceae. RNAcentral also lists the same sequence under 1 other name. The record is from RNAcentral.